This 253-nucleotide ribosomal RNA is filed under the name uncultured bacterium. RNAcentral's name for it is "partial 16S ribosomal RNA". It matches the Rfam family "Bacterial small subunit ribosomal RNA", at positions 524 to 776 of the family's 1533-position model. The record is from RNAcentral.
UACGUAGGGUGCAAGCGUUAUUCGGAAUUAUUGGGCGUAAAGGGCGCGUAGGCGGCUUGGCAAGUGGAAGGUGAAAUCCCUCGGCUUAACCGAGGAACUGCCCUCCAAACUGCUUCGCUUGAGACCGGGAGAGGUGAGUGGAAUUCCCAGUGUAGCGGUGAAAUGCGUAGAUAUUGGGAGGAACACCAGUGGCGAAGGCGGCUCACUGGACCGGUACUGACGCUGAUGCGCGAAAGCGUGGGGAGCAAACGGG